This 465-nucleotide ribosomal RNA is filed under the name Vreelandella stevensii. Its description in RNAcentral is "partial 16S ribosomal RNA". It matches the Rfam family "Bacterial small subunit ribosomal RNA", at positions 338 to 795 of the family's 1533-position model. Lineage: Bacteria; Pseudomonadati; Pseudomonadota; Gammaproteobacteria; Oceanospirillales; Halomonadaceae. The record is from RNAcentral.
CCUACGAGCGGCAGCAGUUGGGAAUAUUGGACAAUGGGGGCAACCCUGAUCCAGCCAUGCCGCGUGUGUGAAGAAGGCCCGCGGGUUGUAAAGCACUUUCAGUGAGGAAGAACGCCUGGUGGUUAAUACCCAUCAGGAAAGACAUCACUCACAGAAGAAGCACCGGCUAACUCCGUGCCAGCAGCCGCGGUAAUACGGAGGGUGCGAGCGUUAAUCGGAAUUACUGGGCGUAAAGCGCGCGUAGGUGGCUUGAUAAGCCGGUUGUGAAAGCCCCGGGCUCAACCUGGGAACGGCAUCCGGAACUGUCAAGCUAGAGUGCAGGAGAGGAAGGUAGAAUUCCCGGUGUAGCGGUGAAAUGCGUAGAGAUCGGGAGGAAUACCAGUGGCGAAGGCGGCCUUCUGGACUGACACUGACACUGAGGUGCGAAAGCGUGGGUAGCAAACAGGAUUAGAUACCCUUGUAGUC